ACCCGCUGAACUUAAGCAUAUCAAUAAGCGGAGGAAAAGAAACCAACAGGGAUUGCCCUAGUAACGGCGAGUGAAGCGGCAACAGCUCAAAUUUGAAAUCUGGCGUCUUUGGCGUCCGAGUUGUAAUUUGCAGAGGGCGCUUUGGCAUUGGCAGCGGUCCAAGUUCCUUGGAACAGGACGUCACAGAGGGUGAGAAUCCCGUACGUGGUCGCUAGCCUUUACCGUGUAAAGCCCCUUCGACGAGUCGAGUUGUUUGGGAAUGCAGCUCUAAAUGGGAGGUAAAUUUCUUCUAAAGCUAAAUACUGGCCAGAGACCGAUAGCACACAAGUAGAGUGAUCGAAAGAUGAAAAGCACUUUGGAAAGAGAGUUAAAAAGCACGUGAAAUUGUUGAAAGGGAAGCGCUUGCAGCCAGACUUGCCUGUAGUUGCUCAUCCGGGUUUCUACCCGGUGCACUCUUCUAUAGGCAGGCCAGCAUCAGUUUGGGCGGUUGGAUAAAGGUCUCUGUCAUGUACCUCUCUUCGGGGAGAACUUAUAGGGGAGACGACAUGCAACCAGCCUGGACUGAGGUCCGCGCAUCUGCUAGGAUGCUGGCGUAAUGGCUGU
RNAcentral lists this ribosomal RNA (603 nucleotides) under uncultured fungus. Its description in RNAcentral is "eukaryotic LSU rRNA". It matches the Rfam family "Eukaryotic large subunit ribosomal RNA", at positions 23 to 641 of the family's 3401-position model. The record is from RNAcentral. Lineage: Eukaryota; Fungi.